Molecule: ribosomal RNA, 630 nt
Filed under: uncultured bacterium
Lineage: Bacteria
Description: bacterial SSU rRNA
Rfam family: Bacterial small subunit ribosomal RNA
Source: RNAcentral
AAAGUUCCGGCGGUUUAAGAUGGACAUGCGUUGUAUUAGUUAGUUGGUGAGGUAACGGCUCACCAAGACGACGAUACAUAGGGGGACUGAGAGGUUAACCCCCCACAUUGGUACUGAGACACGGACCAAACUCCUACGGGAGGCAGCAGUGAGGAAUAUUGGUCAAUGGACGCAAGUCUGAACCAGCCAUGCCGCGUGCAGGAUGACGGCUCUAUGAGUUGUAAACUGCUUUUGUACGAGGGUAAUAUCAGAUACGUGUAUCUGCUUGAAAGUAUCGUACGAAUAAGGAUCGGCUAACUCCGUGCCAGCAGCCGCGGUAAUACGGAGGAUCCAAGCGUUAUCCGGAUUUAUUGGGUUUAAAGGGUGCGUAGGCGGUUUUAUAAGUUAGAGGUGAAAAUUCGGGGCUCAACUCCGGACGUGCCUCUAAUACUGUAUGACUAGAGAAUAGAUGCGGUAGGCGGAAUGUAUGGUGUAGCGGUGAAAUGCGUAGAGAUCAUACAGAACACCGAUUGCGAAGGCAGCUUACCAAACUAUAUCUGACGUUGAGGCACGAAAGCGUGGGGAGCAAACAGGAUUAGAUACCCUGGUAGUCCACGCAGUAAACGAUGAUAGCUCGUUGUCGGCGAUACA